AUCUUUCUAAUACCUAGAGACGUUGUAUUCGGGAUUUAGUGUUGGAAAUCAGUGUAUGCUUUACAUCCAGGUCUAUAGGGGGUUUUAUGGCACAAAGGUUCCCAUUUUGUUGCCAUGAACAACCCAUGCACCUUGGAGGCCAUAUUUUAUGGAUUUUUGGGCCAAAGACCCCUUGCAUGCGUUUCAAGUUUGGAACUUUACGUGUAAAAUGGACAUUAGGAUGCCAGAUCUAUGGUUUUGGUGUGUUAAGUCCUACUGAAAUCGACUAUAUAGUUUGGGACAAGGAGGGACUCGGCGAGUCGAGACGCUUUUUCCCCAAAAAAACGUUUUCUGGAAUGGUUUUAGUUGAGUGAAAGGAACACUCAGCCUACUAGGGGGUUUGCCUUGUACCUGGAAGUCAUGGAACUCGACGAGUGCUAGAAUAGACUCGGCGAGCCAAGGCAAUCUCCCUAUCUUUGAAGAUGGGAUCGAUGAGUUGUUCAUACAACUCGGCGAGUCUGGAGCUCAUUUUCAGCUUAUUGUAGGUAUGAAGUUGAACAUGAGCUUGUGAGGCCAAGGGGAAACAAGAAGAUCCAGAGUUUGGAGCUCAUUUUCAGCUUAUUGUAGGUAUGAAGCUGAACAUGUGUCUAUAGAUCUUGAUUUUGGGCCUUUUUCCUUCAUCUUUCUAAUACCUAGAGAGGUUGUAUUCGGGAUUUAGUGUUGGAAAUCAGUGUAUGCUUUAGAUCCAGGUCUAUAGGGGGUUUUAUGGCACAAAGGUUCCCAUUUUGUUGCCAUGAACAACCCAUGCACCUUGGAGGCCAUAUUUUAUGGAUUUUUGGGCCGAAGACCCCUUGCAUGCGUAUCAAGUUUGGAACUUUACGUGUAAAAUGGACAUUAGGAUGCCAGAUCUAUGGUUUUGGUGUGUUAAGUCCCACUGAAAUCGACUAUAUAGUUUGGGACAAGGAGGGACUCGGCGAGUCGAGACGCUUUUUCCCCAAAAAAACGUUUUCUGGAAUGGUUUUAGUUGAGUGAAAGGAACGCUCAGCCUACUGGGGGGUUUGCCUUGGACCUGGAAGUCAUGGAACUCGACGAGUGCUAGAAUAGACUCGACGAGUCCAAGGCAAUCUCCCAAUCUUUGAAGAUGGGAUCGAUGAGUUAUUCAUACAACUCGGCGAGUCUGGAGCUCAUUUUCAGCUUAUUGUAGGUAUGAAGUUGAACAUGAGCAUGUGAGGCCAAGGGGAAACAAGAAGAUCCAGAGUUUGGAGCUCAUUUUCAGCUUAUUGUAGGUAUGAAGCUGAACAUGUGUCUAUAGAUCUUGAUUUUGGGCCUUUUUCCUUCAUCUUUCUAAUACCUAGAGAGGUUGUAUUCGGGAUUUAGUGUUGGAAAUCAGUGUAUGCUUUAGAUCCAGGUCUAUAGGGGGUUUUAUGGCACAAAGGUUCCCAUUUUGUUGCCAUGAACAACCCAUGCACCUUGGAGGCCAUAUUUUAUGGAUUUUUGGGCCAAAGACCCCUUGCAUGCGUAUCAAGUUUGGAACUUUACGUGUAAAAUGGACAUUAGGAUGCCAGAUCUAUGGUUUUGGUGUGUUAAGUCCCACUGAAAUCGACUAUAUAGUUUGGGACAAGGAGGGACUCGGCGAGUCGAGACGCUUUUUCCCCAAAAAAACGUUUUCUGGAAUGGUUUUAGUUGAGUGAAAGGAACGCUCAGCCUACUGGGGGGUUUGCCUUGGACCUGGAAGUCAUGGAACUCGACGAGUGCUAGAAUAGACUCGGCGAGUCCAAGGCAAUCUCCCAAUCUUUGAAGAUGGGAUCGAUGAGUUGUUCAUACAACUCGGCGAGUCUGGAGCUCAUUUUCAGCUUAUUGUAGGUAUGAAGUUGAACAUGAGCUUGUGAGGCCAAGGGGAAACAAGAAGAUCCAGAGUUUGGAGCUCAUUUUCAGCUUAUUGUAGGUAUGAAGCUGAACAUGUGUCUAUAGAUCUUGAUUUUGGGCCUUUUUCCUUCAUCUUUCUAAUACCUAGAGAGGUUGUAUUCGGGAUUUAGUGUUGGAAAUCAGUGUAUGCUUUAGAUCCAGGUCUAUAGGGGGUUUUAUGGCACAAAGGUUCCCAUUUUGUUGCCAUGAACAACCCAUGCACCUUGGAGGCCAUAUUUUAUGGAUUUUUGGGCCAAAGACCCCUUGCAUGCGUAUCAAGUUUGGAACUUUACGUGUAAAAUGGACAUUAGGAUGCCAGAUCUAUGGUUUUGGUGUGUUAAGUCCCACUGAAAUCGACUAUAUAGUUUGGGACAAGGAGGGACUCGGCGAGUCGAGACGCUUUUUCCCCAAAAAAACAUUUUCUGGAAUGGUUUUAGUUAAGUGAAAGGAACGCUCAGCCUACUGGGGGGUUUGACUUGGACCUGGAAGUCAUGGAACUCGACGAGUGCUAGAAUAGACUCGACGAGUUCAAGGCAAUCUCCCAAUCUUUGAAGAUGGGAUCGAUGAGUUAUUCAUACAACUCGUCGAGUCUGGAGCUCAUUUUCAGCUUAUUGUAGGUAUGAAGUUGAACAUGAGCCUGUGAGGCCAAGGGGAAACAUGAAGAUCCAGAGUUUGGAGCUCAUUUUCAGCUUAUUGU
This 2581-nucleotide long non-coding RNA is filed under the name Lactuca sativa (garden lettuce). Its description in RNAcentral is "long non-coding RNA (LSAT_LNC010153)". The record is from RNAcentral. Lineage: Eukaryota; Viridiplantae; Streptophyta; Magnoliopsida; Asterales; Asteraceae.